AGUAUGCUUCAUUUACAGGAUAAUUUAUGUUGGUGAGUUGAAUCACUUGGUUUUAGAUGAAUGUUGCAGUUAUGUCUCUUCCAGCAAUCACAAAAUUCAAAACAACAUCUCUUAAUCUCUGCCUUUCUUGUUCUAAUAACUGAGUAAGUAAAAUCAUCAAUGAUUUUGAUGCUCUUGUCAAGUUGUGCUUCUGAGCCAAGAUAAUAAUAUAAGCAUAUGAUAAAAAAAAUGUUUGUAUUUUGUAGCACCUACAUGUCUAUUUGUUGGUUGAGAUAAGAUGCUUGAUUGAGAAUGGAUGAGAGUUUUAAAGCAUACUCUUUGCAGACAUAUUCUUAAUAAGUUGAUAUCAAAGAAUAUUGAUUUUCUUAUUUUGAUUGUUUUGGUUAAUUUUAUAGUAACAUACAAGUGUAUUCAUGUUUAUAAGGCUUCGUGGUAUAUAGUUACUAUGGUGUUAAAGUGUUGACCAAUAUAUAUAUAUAUAUAUAUAAUCAUUUGCUUACCAUAUACCAUUGUUUGAUUUUCCUGCUGAUAAAUCAACAAUUUUUUCAAUUUCUCAGGCACGUGCUGUAUUAAUUAAUGCAAGUCAAGCAAAUGCAGCUACGGUAAGCUACUCAAUCUCUUUCCAUUUGAUGUGUCUGUGGGCUGGCCUUG
This 651-nucleotide long non-coding RNA is filed under the name Trifolium pratense (red clover). Its description in RNAcentral is "long non-coding RNA (TPRA_LNC009849)". The record is from RNAcentral. Lineage: Eukaryota; Viridiplantae; Streptophyta; Magnoliopsida; Fabales; Fabaceae.